CAGAACUGAACCUGAGCAAAACCAACCUGGAAGGUUCUGGACUGAAGGAUCUCUGUGGUUUUCUACAGACUGAAGGCUGCAGACUGGAGAUAUUGGUGUUGAAUGACUGCAGUUUGUCAAAGAUCAGCUGUGAUUAUUUGGCCUCAGCUCUGAAGUCCAACCCGACCCGUCUGACAGAACUGGUCCUGAGAGAAAACAACCUGAAGGAAUCAGAUGUUCAGCAGCUGAAGGAUCUUGUAAAAACUUUAGAGUUGUUCUGAUCUCUGUAAAGUAGAGAACGUCUCUGUGUCCUGCUGAUCCUCACAGGUUGAAGCUGCAGCAGUUUGAGUCUAAAGAGACUCUGGAUCAAGAUGAUGACCUCUGACCUCAGAACAUUUUCUAUUUCUAUUUCAAAUAUUUUCCAGACGUCGAUUGUUGAAGAUUUUCAGUUUUAUUUUUCAUCUGAUCUGUUUGAUGAUCUGCAGAAACAAAAGAGAGAAAAAUACUCUGAGUUUGUUAGAAAAGUUGAAUUGAGCAAAAACAUGAAUCAUAAAUUUCAUUAAAAAGCUUUAAAGAGUU
Long non-coding RNA from Poeciliopsis prolifica (blackstripe livebearer), 558 nucleotides. RefSeq lists it as uncharacterized. The record is from RefSeq and is a predicted model, not a curated record. NCBI's taxonomy places the organism in Eukaryota, Metazoa, Chordata, Actinopteri, Cyprinodontiformes, Poeciliidae. The transcript has 3 exons.